UUGGGAAUAUUGGACAAUGGGAGCAAUCCUGAUCCAGCAAUCCCGCGUGAGUGAUGAAGGCCUUCGGGUCGUAAAGCUCUUUUAGGAGGGACGAAGGGAAACUUGACGGUACCUCCAGAAAAAGCACCGGCUAACUCUGUGCCAGCAGCCGCGGUAAUACAGAGGGUGCAAGCGUUGCUCGGAAUCAUUGGGCGUAAAGCGCGUGUAGGCGGUCUUCUAAGUCUGGUGUGAAAGCCCAGGGCUUAACCCUGGAAGUGCACUGGAUACUGGAAGACUAGAGGGUAAGAGGGGACAUUGGAAUUCCUGGUGUAGGGGUGAAAUCCGUAGAUAUCAGGAGGAACAUCGGUGGCGAAGGCGAAUGUCUGGCUUAUUUCUGACGCUGAGACGCGAAAGCGUGGGGAGCAAACAGG
Molecule: ribosomal RNA, 410 nt
Filed under: uncultured bacterium
Lineage: Bacteria
Description: bacterial SSU rRNA
Rfam family: Bacterial small subunit ribosomal RNA
Source: RNAcentral